GGGGCUGUAGCUCAGGGGAUUAGAGCACCCGCCUUCUAAGCGGAUGGUCGUGCGUUCGAAUCGCACCAGCCCUGCCA
RNAcentral lists this transfer RNA (77 nucleotides) under Candidatus Viridilinea mediisalina. RNAcentral's name for it is "tRNA-Arg". It matches the Rfam family "tRNA". From Rfam's summary of the family: Transfer RNA (tRNA) molecules are approximately 80 nucleotides in length. Their secondary structure includes four short double-helical elements and three loops (D, anti-codon, and T loops). Lineage: Bacteria; Bacillati; Chloroflexota; Chloroflexia; Chloroflexales; Oscillochloridaceae. The record is from RNAcentral.